Molecule: small nucleolar RNA, 128 nt
Organism: Sorex araneus (European shrew)
Lineage: Eukaryota; Metazoa; Chordata; Mammalia; Eulipotyphla; Soricidae
Source: Ensembl
UUGCAUCCACCCAUAGACCAUGCACAGUUUGCUGUUCGUCUUUUGGUUUGCACUAGGAUGCAAAGAGAAAAAACUCCCAGUGCUUUUUGUCUGUCUCUGGCAACCAGAUUAAAUAAGGAAGAAUAUCU